CAGCCGCCACGGUAAUACAGAGGGUGCAAGCGUUAAUCGGAAUUACUGGGCGUAAAGCGCGCGUAGGUGGUUUGUUAAGUUGGAUGUGAAAUCCCCGGGCUCAACCUGGGAACUGCAUCCAAAACUGGCAAGCUAGAGUAUGGUAGAGGGUGGUGGAAUUUCCUGUGUAGCGGUGAAAUGCGUAGAUAUAGGAAGGAACACCAGUGGCGAAGGCGACCACCUGGACUGAUACUGACACUGAGGCACGAAAGCGUGGGGAGCAAACAGGAUUAGAUACCCCAGUAGUCCCUGUCUCUUAUAC
Molecule: ribosomal RNA, 301 nt
Filed under: uncultured bacterium
Lineage: Bacteria
Description: partial 16S ribosomal RNA
Rfam family: Bacterial small subunit ribosomal RNA
Source: RNAcentral